This 465-nucleotide ribosomal RNA is filed under the name Vreelandella stevensii. RNAcentral describes it as "partial 16S ribosomal RNA". It matches the Rfam family "Bacterial small subunit ribosomal RNA", at positions 338 to 795 of the family's 1533-position model. The record is from RNAcentral. Lineage: Bacteria; Pseudomonadati; Pseudomonadota; Gammaproteobacteria; Oceanospirillales; Halomonadaceae.
CCUACGGGCGGCAGCAGUGGGGAAUAUUGGACAAUGGGGGGAACCCUGAUCCAGCCAUGCCGCGUGUGUGAAGAUGGCCCUCGGGUUGUAAAGCACUUUCAGUGAGGAAGAACGCCUGGUGGUUAAUACCCAUCAGGAAAGACAUCACUCACAGAAGAAGCACCGGCUAACUCCGUGCCAGCAGCCGCGGUAAUACGGAGGGUGCGAGCGUUAAUCGGAAUUACUGGGCGUAAAGCGCGCGUAGGUGGCUUGAUAAGCCGGUUGUGAAAGCCCCGGGCUCAACCUGGGAACGGCAUCCGGAACUGUCAAGCUAGAGUGCAGGAGAGGAAGGUAGAAUUCCCGGUGUAGCGGUGAAAUGCGUAGAGAUCGGGAGGAAUACCAGUGGCGAAGGCGGCCUUCUGGACUGACACUGACACUGAGGUGCGAAAGCGUGGGUAGCAAACAGGAUUAGAUACCCUGGUAGUC